GAUUAAAGGAUAAACAAACACCACUUCAUUUAGCGGUUGUAAAAGGACAUACGGAAAUUGUUGAUCUACUUCUUCGUCGUCAUGCUGACAAAAACCUAAAGGAUAAAAAUGGAUUUACUCCAUUAUGUUUUGCUAAAAGAGGGGAUAACGAGGAAAUUGUCAAAUUACUGAGCAAAUCUUCAAGAAAGCGAGAUAAAGUUGGCCAAGGGGAGGAUGUCGUACCUGACUCAGACGAGAAGCUAGAAGCCUUAGAUGAAAGAGUAACAGGAUUG
Long non-coding RNA from Actinia tenebrosa (Australian red waratah sea anemone), 272 nucleotides. Lineage: Eukaryota; Metazoa; Cnidaria; Anthozoa; Actiniaria; Actiniidae. The record is from RefSeq and is a predicted model, not a curated record.